This 25-nucleotide non-coding RNA is filed under the name Mus musculus (house mouse). The record is from RNAcentral. Lineage: Eukaryota; Metazoa; Chordata; Mammalia; Rodentia; Muridae.
UGGACAACAUGGAUGGAGAUGCACU